Molecule: ribosomal RNA, 509 nt
Filed under: uncultured glomeraceous AM fungus
Lineage: Eukaryota; Fungi; Glomeromycota; Glomeromycetes; Glomerales; Glomeraceae
Description: SSU rRNA
Rfam family: Eukaryotic small subunit ribosomal RNA
Source: RNAcentral
AGCAGCCGCGGUAAUUCCAGCUCCAAUAGUGUAUAUUAAAGUUGUUGCAGUUAAAAAGCUCGUAGUUGAAUUUCGGGAUCAACGUUUCGGUCAUGCCCUUGGAAUGUACUGAUAUUAUUGGUUUCUCACCUUCUAAAGAACCGUAACGCCAUUAAUUUGGUGUCACGGGGAAUUAGGACUGUUACCUUGAAAAAAUUAGAGUGUUUAAAGCAGGCUCACGCUUGAAUACAUUGGCAUGGAAUAAUGAAAUAGGACAUCCGAUUCUAUUUUGUUGGUUUCUAGGAUCGAUGUAAUGAUUAAUAGGGAUAGUUGGGGGCAUCAGUAUUCAAUUGUCAGAGGUGAAAUUCUUGGAUUUAUUGAAGACUAACUACUGCGAAAGCAUUUGCCAAGGAUGUUUUCAUUAACCAAGAACGAAAGUUAGGGGAUCGAAGACGAUCAGAUACCGUCGUAGUCUUAACCAUAAACUAUGCCGACUAGGGAUCGGAUGAUGUUAAUUUUUUAAUGACUCA